UCCUAGUCGCGGGCAUACAGCAAAAGGCAGCGUGUGUGUAACCCGCUAGUCCCCUCCUGUCCUGUCCUGUCCUGUCCCACGCGGGAACCAACUCCGGGAGCACAAGGGGAAGGGAUGGGGGAGGAAACAGCGUCUCGUCCCGAGACAGGGGCAGUCUGCGGGCCCAGGGCAGGGCUACAGGCGAGAAAGGAAACACGGCCUAGCUGCUUCCCAGAGACUGCCCAGUGGUUUCAACAAGCCUUCUCCUGGACUGUCCCUUGAGCACAUUUAUUCCAGGCUCCCACUUCAUUUCUUCAGUGACAGGGCAGCAGCAGCAAACAUGCAGGCUCCGUAAAGGCCUCCCAAACCAGUCCCUCCUUACUCACAACAGCAAAAGAAACACAGAUCUAGACAAACAAAUAGAUAGGCGUUUUCCUGCCUCAGGUCCCUCAUCACUCAGCACCUCACACAGAGGUGAGAGGCUCCAUACCAGCUAUGAACCGCCUGCCCAGAGGAGUUUUCCAUCUAUUGACUCCUCUGGGAAAUCCUAUGAAAUAUGAACUUUCAUUUCUACCCAGGAGAACUUUACAAUCUUUUCUCCAAUGCCUGAUGAAGGGUGCUCGUGCCUGAAAGCUUCCAAUUAAAGACAUCUUUUUGUAAAAAUGUUGUUGGUCUCAUAAAACACAUCAUCUCUA
Molecule: long non-coding RNA, 674 nt
Organism: Alligator mississippiensis (American alligator)
Lineage: Eukaryota; Metazoa; Chordata; Crocodylia; Alligatoridae
Exons: 2
Source: RefSeq, a predicted model, not a curated record